RNAcentral lists this transfer RNA (51 nucleotides) under Hydroporus sp. NHM-IR526. Its description in RNAcentral is "tRNA-Gln". Lineage: Eukaryota; Metazoa; Arthropoda; Insecta; Coleoptera; Dytiscidae. The record is from RNAcentral.
UAGUAUAUGAUGUAUAGAAGUUUUUGAUACUUAAGGUAAUAGUUUAAUUCU